CUUUUUUUGUUGUUUUUUUA
Molecule: small RNA, 20 nt
Filed under: Arabidopsis thaliana (thale cress)
Lineage: Eukaryota; Viridiplantae; Streptophyta; Magnoliopsida; Brassicales; Brassicaceae
Description: ATSL113360
Source: RNAcentral